UCCUUGUUACCAAGGCAGUCUAGCCAGAGAAAUCCAACUGACUAUAAGGGUUGCGCUCGUUGAUGGACUUAACCAAACAUCUCACGACACGAGCUGACGACGGCCAUGCAUCACCUGUCACCUUGUUCAAUAAAGCACUCUCGUCUUUCGACAAAAUUCAAGGGAUGUCAAGCCUGGGUAAGGUUCUUCGCUUACCAUCGAAUUAAACAACACGCUCCACCGCUUGUGCGGGUCCCCGUCAAUUCCUUUAUGUUUUAAGCUUGCGCUCGUACUCCACAGGCGGGAUGCUUAACGCGUUAGCUUCGCUACUAGAAGGGUCGAUACUUCUAACAGCUAGCAUCCAUAGUUUACGGCGUGGACUAC
RNAcentral lists this unclassified non-coding RNA (363 nucleotides) under uncultured bacterium. RNAcentral describes it as "contains 16S-23S intergenic spacer region". The record is from RNAcentral.